CGCGUAGGCGGUUUAUUAAGUUGUAUGUGAAAUCCCAGGGCUUAACCCUGGACUUGCAUACAAAACUGGUAAACUUGAGUGUGGUAGAGGUAAGUGGAAUUCCUAGUGUAGCGGUGGAAUGCGUAGAGAUUAGGAGGAACACCAGUGGCGAAGGCGACUUACUGGGCCAUAACUGACGCUGAGGCGCGAAAGCGUGGGGAGCAAACA
Molecule: ribosomal RNA, 207 nt
Filed under: uncultured bacterium
Lineage: Bacteria
Description: partial 16S ribosomal RNA
Rfam family: Bacterial small subunit ribosomal RNA
Source: RNAcentral